Molecule: ribosomal RNA, 252 nt
Filed under: uncultured bacterium
Lineage: Bacteria
Description: partial 16S ribosomal RNA
Rfam family: Bacterial small subunit ribosomal RNA
Source: RNAcentral
UACGGAGGAUGCGAGCGCUAUCCGGAUUUAUUGGGUUUAAAGGGUGCGUAGGCGGGAUGCCAAGUCAGCGGUAAAAGUGCGGUGCUCAACGCCGUCGAGCCGUUGAAACUGGCGUUCUUGAGUGGGCGAGAAGUAUGCGGAAUGCGUGGUGUAGCGGUGAAAUGCAUAGAUAUCACGCAGAACUCCGAUUGCGAAGGCAGCAUACCGGCGCCCUACUGACGCUGAGGCACGAAAGCGUGGGUAUCGAACAGG